GAUGAACGCUAGCUACAGGCUUAACACAUGCAAGUCGCGGGGUAACAUCUGGUAGAGCUUGCUCUUCCAGGAUGACGACCGGCGCACGGGUGAGUAACGCGUAUCCAACCUGGCCCAUACCACGGGAUAGCCCGUCGAAAGGCGGAUUAAUACCGUAUGCUGUCAUUAAGAUGCAUAUAUUGAUGACGAAAGGACUGGCGGUAUGGGAUGGGGAUGCGUCUGAUUAGCUUGUUGGCGGGGUAACGGCCCACCAAGGCGACGAUCAGUAGGGGUUCUGAGAGGAAGGUCCCCCACAUUGGAACUGAGACACGGUCCAAACUCCUACGGGAGGCAGCAGUGAGGAAUAUUGGUCAAUGGGCGCAAGCCUGAACCAGCCAAGUAGCGUGAGGGAAGACUGCCCUACGGGUUGUAAACCUCUUUUGUUGGGAAUAAAGUGCGGGACGCGU
Molecule: ribosomal RNA, 446 nt
Filed under: uncultured bacterium
Lineage: Bacteria
Description: bacterial SSU rRNA
Rfam family: Bacterial small subunit ribosomal RNA
Source: RNAcentral